UUUGUUUUCUAUUAUCUUUAUUCAGUAUUAAUCCUUAUUCAGUAUUAAGUAAUGUUUUCUUGUUUAAAUUUGAUAAUUUGAAGUUAUACUCGGGGCUAAGUUUUACUGGUUAUUUACAGACCACUGUCGAUUUGUAAACUGUUGUGUGCUACUCGAUUGUUUUGGUUUUUGACGUUCCGUCGUGUCGGGUGCGCUCCGCACCACGAGUCUAAAACAAGCAAAUUCUAGUCCUAUAGCCCCUCACAGUGUAAGUUUACUGUAUCAAUAUGUCUUAUAUUAUUCCUUAUAACUUUCUGUAUAGUUAGUUUUUGACCGUAUACUCUGAAAACCCUCACAUGCGUUCCGAAGCUGGAUUCGUACCCAACCUCGUUCAAUUCGUAACUCGUUUCGUACCCUAGGUUAUUUUAUACUAUUACGUGUAAUUUCUAUAAUUUGAUUUGACUAUUAAGAAGUUUCUUUUCUAUGUGAUAUGCUGUAUCCUAAAUAAGAUUUCAGUCAUAUUGUUAAGUGUAUCCUUGUGUAUUUUCAGUUUUUAACCGCAAUAUCUAUGACGAAUAAAUGGUUAAACUAGAUGCGUCGUCUUCCCAUGGAUGCGGUGGCAUUAUAGUUAAAAAACUGUUGGCAAGUGGAGUUUGCAACUGUUUCGAGUAUUGGCAAGUCAUCGCAAGUUCUACUACCUGUAAAUGAAAAGAAUAAGAACGCUUACGCCAAAAGCAAUGGCGCAAUAUGAAGAAAAAGUUGACGCCUACAAAGCUAAGAUCAAGUCGAUGCAAGAUAAUAUAAACGUUUGCAUAGCAAAACAAAUUGAUGAAAGUGAUAUUAAAGUUUUGACAGAAAGGAAAAAGGAACUUUUAGACUUAACAGCAAAGUUUGAAAACAUUUAUGGUGAAUUUGAAGAGUAUUUGACGCGAACUGGCACAGAAGACAGUACAAAACAAUUUACAGAGUUACAUGAACAUGGAAAAGAGAUAAGAAAGGUUAUAACUCAAUUUAUGAACCACAUUGACCACUUGAUUGUAUUGUUUAGCGAAAAAAUGUCUGUUAAAAGUUCGAAGAAAAGUUCAAGUUCUGUGUACAGGAGAAAGAUGGAAUAUGCGGAAAAAGAAUUUCAGUUAUUAAGAGAAAAGGCCGCGAUAGAAGAAAGGUUUCAAAUAGAACAAGCAAGUGAAAUCAGGAAAAGAACAGAGAUUGAAGCUGAGUUAAAUCUGCUUAAAGUCAAACAAGAGAAUGCAGACACAAGUGACUCAAUCAGUGAAACUAGUAUAUCAGAUAAACAGUUACCAGUUCAGUUUGAAAAUCCCAAAGAGAAGGUAGACCGGUACCUUAACAUUGAUCCUGUGACACAUGCACAUGCCACAAGAAGCGAUGUAAACUUUCCCAUGGACAUAACAAAAUUCUUGUUAAAAAAGGACCUUUUAGUUGCAAGGUUGUCUAAUUUCAGAGAUACACCAGAGACAUUCCAAUCUUGGAAAGGUACUUUCAAAUCAGUAAUGAAUGAACUGGACGCAUCACCUGCAGAAGAAACAGAUCUACUUAUCAAAUAUCUUGGUGCGGAAUCAUCCAAAUAUGCCAUAAGCAUCAAAACGGCAAAUGCCCAUGAGCCGAGCUAUGCUAGGGACGAAAUUUGGAUUCGCCUUGAAGAAAUGUAUGGAAGGCCAGAGUUGGUUGAGGUUUCUAUCAAAAAGAAAUUGAAUAGUUUCACAAAAAUAUCAAAAGACUACAAAAGGCUCUACGACCUGUUAGACAUUUUGUGUGAGAUCCAGUAUCUAAAAGCUAAUCCUGUGUACACAAUGAUGUUUUCAUAUUUCGAUUCAUCGUCUGGAGUGAAUCCCAUAGUUUCCAAACUACCAUACAACCUACAGGAUAAAUGGACAAAUAGGGCAUCUCAGUACAAACACAACCACCAAGUUAUGUUUCCACCGUUCAGCUUCUUUGUGAAUUUUGUGAGGGAAAUAAGCAGAACCAAAAACGAUCCAGCCUUCCAAUACAUGUGUGAACAAAAGUCUGAAAUUUCCAAACCAUUUAAAGUAUUUGCAAGAAAAACUGAAGAAGUCCAAUCUCUACCCAAAGAAAAGGAAACCAACACUGAUCAAAAUGCAGCCACCAUAAAACGUUGCCCUAUACACAAUGCACAGCACUCCCUGUUGCAAUGUAGAACAUUUCUUCAAAAAACAUUGGAAGAGAAAAAACGAUUUGUUAGAGAGAAGAACAUUUGUUUCAAGUGUUUAGAUUCAGUUAAACACUACGCAAGGGACUGUCGAGUUGCCGUGAAAUGCUCCAUUUGUGGAAAAGGUCACGUUGCGGCACUUCACGGCGGGGAGACGCAGAACCAACAGGACGUUACAGCAAAGUGCACGACUUUGUGUGGCGAUACACUCAUCGGAAGGUCGUGUAGUAAAACUGUUCUUGUCGACAUAUAUCCAAAAGGACAAUUUGAAAAGGCUGUCAGGGCAUAUGUUAUCAUUGACGAUCAAAGCAACUGUAGCUUGGGUACUGGCGAACUAUUUGAUAAAUUGAGUAUUUAUGGACAGACCACUCCGUACACGUUGUCGUCAUGCAAUGGCCGUGCUACAAAGUUUGGUAGACGCACUAGCGAUAUAUGUGUUAAAUCGAUUGAUGGUUCCACAGAGAUUGAUGUUCCUCGAGUCAUAGAGUGCGAUGAUAUUCCAAACGAACUAUCAGAGAUACCCACUCCAGACGUGGCAAGAGCGUAUAGUCAUCUGAACCACAUUGCGGAUACAAUUCCUAACCUACAGGGAGACUGCAAGGUGCAGCUUCUUAUAGGACGUGAUGUUCCUGAAGCCCACCAUGUUAUGGACCAAGCCAUUGGAUCCCGUGGCACUCCGUUCGCUCAAAAGUUAGCGCUUGGUUGGGUUAUAGCGGGAGAGGUGUGUUCAGGGCGUGUGCACACAAACGAAGAUGUCUCCGUGUACAAGACCUACAUCAUGCCCGAUGGCAGAGGCACACACAUCAAACCAUGCCAAUUCAACCUGAAUAUAAAGGAAAAUCAAGAUCCUGAUUUUCAGUCGCUUGAUGAUACCUUGUUUGUUCGAACAGUUGAUGACGAUACGACUGGACUCUCUGCAGAAGACAAACAGUUUGUAAAACUUAUGGACUCUAAAAUGGAACGUGACCAGAAUGGCUUCUGGACUGCACCUCUUCCGUUCAAGGAUGACAGACCCGAGCUACCUAACAACAGAGCACAGGCGUGGCGCCGAGCUCAAAUCCUAGAUAAUAGCUUGAAGAACAAUUCGGUCAAGAGACAGCAUUUUGUCACCUUUAUGGGCAAGGUCAUCGAUAGCGGAGCUGCUGAAGUUGCACCCUGUGCUAUUCAACAAGAGUGUUGGUAUCUUCCACUAUUUGGCGUCUACAACCCGAAGAAACCUGGGCAGAUAAGAGGUGUAUUCGAUUCGUCGGCAGUCUACCAGAAUAUCUCAUUGAACAGUGUUCUCAUGUCAGGCCCUGACAUGAUAAACAGCCUGCUAGGAAUUCUUCUCAGAUUCCGUAGAGACGAAGUCGCUGUUUCGGCCGAUGUAGAGCAGAUGUUCUAUCGCUUUCGAGUCACUCAUGAGCAUCGUGAUUUCCUUCGUUUUCUGUGGUACAGAGAUAAUGAUCCUGACAAAGAACUCAUUGAAUAUAGAAUGUGUGUUCACGUAUUUGGAAACUGUGCUUCCCCAUCUGUUGCUACAUAUGGUCUACGCAAGGCUGUACAAACUGCUGAAAAAGACAUUCAAAAUCUGGUUAACAAGGACUUUUAUGUAGAUGACUGUUUAACGUCUAAGCCUACUGUUGAUCAAGCAAUAAUUACAGUGAAAAGAACUCAGACAGCUUUACGUGAUGGUGGAAACAUUCGGCUACAUAAAAUUGCAUCAAACAAUGUCGCUGUAAUGCACGCCUUCCCUCAGGAAGACCUUGGAGGUGAUUUAAAAUCACUAGAUCUUAGUGUAGAUCCUCUUCCUGCCCAGCGAAGUCUCGGAUUGGCCUGGGACUUGAAGAAGGACGCCUUCAUCUUCAAUAUCGAAAUGGAAAACAAGCCUUUCACCAGAAGAGGCGUACUUUCCAUGGUGAACAGUAUCUAUGAUCCCCUUGGUUUCAUCGCUCCGAUAACCAUAAGUGGCAAGAUACUACUACGUGAAGCUACACCGUCCGGUGUAGACUGGGAUGCUCCUCUCCCACCAAACCAUGAGAUGAGAUGGCUUGAAUGGAAGCAGUCCUUACAAAACACAGAAACAAUUGCGAUUCCUCGUGCCUACACUACGAUUUCCUUCAGUACAGCAAAGAAGAGUUCAGUGAAUAUCUUCUCAGACGCUUCAGAAGUAGCUAUUGCUGCAGUUUCUUAUUUGAAAGUGACCGACCAAGUUGGUGAAUCCAGUUCUGGGUUUCUGUUAGGAAAAGCGAAGUUAGCCCCUACACAAGGACAUAGUAUUCCUAGGUUGGAACUGUGCGGCGCAGUUUUAGCCACUGAGUUAGCUGUUAUAAUAUCUAAGCAGUUAGACAUACCGAUAGCUUCCAUGACAUUCUUUACUGAUAGCAAAGUGGUGCUAGGAUACAUUUGCAACGAAACUAGGAGGUUCUACACGUAUGUUAGCAAUCGUGUUGAAAGAAUAUUGAAUGUAUCUACACCAGAGCAAUGGCAGUACGUUUCAACGACCCGUAAUCCUGCCGAUUGUGCAACCAGAUGUCGACCAGUUUGCUUAGAUGUUAGCGACAGUAUGUGGAUCAAAGGUCCUCCUCUUCUGAAAGAUCAAGAGCUUCAGAUAGAGGAUAACAUCGAAGAGUCCAAGAACUAUGACCUGAUCAACCCUGAAAAUGACAGUGAGAUUCGACCUGAAGUUCUCACGAGGAAAACAGUGAACGUUGAAUCCAGUAUAACUAGCAAGUUUGAAAAGUUUUCUACUUGGCAGUCUUUGGUGAGAGCAUUCGCGCUCUUGAAAAGGUCGUGUAAAGAUCACAAAAAAGUAGCAAAACCUGAUGUGGUUACGAGUCACAUUGAAGCAGAAAACUUCAUUGUACGUAUAGUUCAAGAGAGCAGUUAUGAAGAGGAAAUUCAGUUAUUGUUAAGCAAGAGAGCUGUACCUGCAAGUAGCAGUCUGUCUACAUUGAGUCCAUUUCUAGACGAGAAAGGUGUCUUGCGUGUUGGUGGCAGAUUAACAAAGGCAGAUGUUCCGUCUAUCAGCAAACAGCCAAUCAUCAUCCCGAAGAAGUCUCACAUAGCUCUUCUUCUUGUGAGACAUUUCCACGAGAAAGUUCAACACCAAGGCAGACUACUUACUGAAUCCACUUUGCGUAACAAUGGCUUCUGGAUUAUUGGUGCGAAGAGACUUAUUUCCAGUACUAUUCAUAAGUGUGUCAUCUGCAAAAGACAGCGUGGUAAAUUUCAAAGUCAAUACAUGUCCGACCUACCUGAAGACAGAGUUACUCCAAGUGCUCCCUUUACAGUGAUUGGCGUAGAUACAUUUGGACCAUGGCACAUUGUUGCCCGCAAGACCAGAGGCGGAUUUGCAGAAAGUAAAAGAUGGGGCAUGCUUUUCACAUGCUUGAGUACUAGGGCAGUGCAUAUUGAAGUUAUUGAAGAGUUAAGCAGUUCAGCUUUCAUAAAUGCAUUUAGAAGAUUUGUAGCCAUAAGAGGACCAGUCAAAGAGGUUCGAUCAGAUCGUGGUACGAAUUUCAUUGGGGCGCUUGAUGAUCUCAAAGCCGAAGGCAUUUGUGUAGAAGAUGGACCUGUAAAGAAAUACCUUCACGACUCGAAGGUAACUUGGAAAUUCAACCCUCCACACUCGUCACACAUGGGAGGAGUGUGGGAGAGAAUCAUUGGACUCACGCGUAGAAUCCUAGACUCUAUGCUCCUGAAGACACACGCGCAAAAGUUGACUCAUGACAUUUUGUGUACAUUCAUGUGUGAAGUGUGUGCGAUUAUCAACUCCCGACCUAUUGCUUCAAUCUCUACGGACCCAGACGAUCCUGAAAUGAUGACCCCGGGAAUGCUGCUAACCCAGAAGAAGGAACCUUUGGAAGGAUUGGACUCAACCCUGAGUAUGAGGGACAUAUACAAAGCGCAAUGGAAGUACGUUCAGGUGAUGGCAAACACUUUCUGGAAACAGUGGCGUAACGGAUACCUUCAAACUUUGCAAACACGGCGAAAGUGGCCAAGUGUUCUAGAAAAUUUGAAAACCGGAGACGUUGUUCUUGUUAAGGAUGUUGAAGAACAUCGAAACCAUUGGCCAUUGGGGAUCGUUGUUCGUGUCUUCCAAAGUGGAAGUGACUCAAACAUUCGUUCAGUGGAAGUACGCAUCGUUAAAGACAAAAAAUGUGUAAAUUAUGUUAGACCAAUCACGGAGUUGGUACUCCUAGUGGAUUGAUGUACUUUCUCAAAAUAAGUCAGUUUAUCUACAUACACAAACAUAAAUGUAAGACAAUUUUGAGUGCUGAUUAGAAUAUGUCUUAUUGUUUUGCAUACAUGCUUUCAUUUGUUAUAAGAUACAUGUAUUGGCUUCAAUAUUGUUUAAAGCAAUAAUUAGGGUUUGCAUCUAUUGUUUUUAAAAGUCAAUAUUUAACUGUCUAAGUCAAUUAUAAUUACUCUCAUAGUAAGAAACUUGAGUAACAUUGUAUUUCUUUAUUUUGUAAAAGUAGGUCAAAUUUUUGUAUUUUCAUAUACACUUGUUAGUGAAGUUUUAUUAAAAUUAACACUAAUGUAGGAACUUUAUAAUUUCAGUUUCUUUACUGAUGCUUUGUAUCUUGGUCAUUUUGUUUUGUUUAAUUAGGGCUUGUACUUUAAGGUGAUUAAGUUCAAAGAUAUAGCUUUUUUGUCUUAAGUUUAAUAUGUGAAUCUCUCUCUCUCUCUAUAUAUAUAUGCUGUUGUAUUAGGUUAAAAUUUUGGUAUUAGAAUACCAGACGGGGAGUGUACUGGAACUGAAGUUCCAUGUUUGUUUUCUAUUAUCUUUAUUCAGUAUUAAUCCUUAUUCAGUAUUAAGUAAUGUUUUCUUGUUUAAAUUUGAUAAUUUGAAGUUAUACUCGGGGCUAAGUUUUACUGGUUAUUUACAGACCACUGUCGAUUUGUAAACUGUUGUGUGCUACUCGAUUGUUUUGGUUUUUGACGUUCCGUCGUGUCGGGUGCGCUCCGCACCACGAGUCUAAAACAAGCAAAUUCUAGUCCUAUAGCCCCUCACAGUUUUUUAACCGCAAUAUCUAUGACGAAUAAAUGGUUAAACUAGAUGCGUCGUCUUCCCAUGGAUGCGGUGGCAUUAUAGUGACGUUGUUGUUGUUGUUGAGUUUAUAAAGGUCUGCCCGCGCCCUAUAAUGGCUGCAUUAUGGCUUGACCCCGUCACAUCCCCAAGUGUGACUUAAACAGAAUUUUGAAGCCAAAAGGGGAGUUUUACCCCCAUCGGUUGAUGGGAUAUUCGUCAAAGGAGUAAUUUUUUACCCAAAAUGCCGCGAAACCUGCGAUGAAUGACAUCUAGGGAGGUCCCACAGCUCUGAAUAUUGGAUAUGGUUUCAUUUCUCCAGUCUUGUAUCUUAAAAAACAUUUACGUGUAAGAAUGGUAUUUUUUUUGAAGGAUGGGAAAGACUCACGGUCAGUUCAUUGACAAGAAAGUGUUGUGAGAACAGGAAUUUUUGCCCACUAUAUGUAUUAAUAUUUCUAAUAUAUAUAUGAACUGACCACUUUGUUGUCGAUGCCCGACUAUUGCCUCACUAUUUACUUAUUGGAAAUUCUUCAAGACCAGAGAGUGCGUUGACAUUACUUUGCCUACAUGUUUUUUAAAUGUACAUGUACAUAUAUAGAGAGGGUUAUUAUGGUUGUUUUUAAAAAUAAUAAUGAUUAAUAAUAUAGGAUUUUUUUUGUUUUUUUGUUUUUGUUUUGUUUUGUUUUUUUGGCCUGCGCCCGAUUUUUUUCCAUUUUAAUAUGUAUGUGCGGGAUAAAAAAAUACAUAGUAUACUUUCUAUAUACAGGUAUGUAGCCCCUGGUCCAGUGCCUUCUCUUUUUUAUCAAUAGGUCGUAACCAUGUAUAUUUUCAAAAUUUCAAUAUCUUUAAGUGAAUGAAUGAAUUAGGGCUAGGAUCAAAAACUGUUUUUCCUAACAAUAAACCUGGACCAGAAGCGUUAUAUUACAACACCAUCACCAUAGCAUGUAAAAUCAUCAUGGACUUCUAAUAGCACUAUGGAUGUAACGGUUUAAAUCGGUAGAAUUGUUAACUCAAAAUGUCUUUAUACAGUUUAUACCGAUAUUGGUUUUCUUUCUUGACAACUUCGCCCGAAAAAUAAUUUGGUUUCGUUUUAGGUUAUGGUGACUUGCAUUUAAUAAUUUAUGGUUAAAUCGAUGUAUAUCAUCAUACUCCUUAAUACCUCAUCCUUUCAUGUGAAAACGAAAGAAGAAAAGAAAUGUUUUGUCACCAUAAUGUAGAUUGAAAGUCAGUAAUUUAUAGCUACUAAAAGUAGUAGAGAUCCAAUUUAUACGCGUUCAUCUCAUAACUCCAGGAAUGAAAUGUUUGUUUACCGGACUUGAUAAUAAUGGAUAGUCGAUUUGGUAUUCAUCGUUCCAAAUAACCUGCUUAAAUCCAUGAAUUCCAUUCGUAUGUUUCGGUAAUUCCAAAAGGUAAAAUAUGUAAAACA
Molecule: RNA transcript, 8607 nt
Organism: Mya arenaria
Lineage: Eukaryota; Metazoa; Mollusca; Bivalvia; Myida; Myidae
Exons: 2
Source: RefSeq, a predicted model, not a curated record